UCCGGUAUGGUGUAGUGGCUAACAUUUCGCGCUCUCAUAACCUGAGGGAUCGGUUCCGCGGAGCCCAGGGUUCGAUUCCCUGUACCGGAG
Molecule: transfer RNA, 90 nt
Filed under: Fusarium redolens
Lineage: Eukaryota; Fungi; Ascomycota; Sordariomycetes; Hypocreales; Nectriaceae
Description: tRNA-Glu
Rfam family: tRNA
About the family: Transfer RNA (tRNA) molecules are approximately 80 nucleotides in length.
Source: RNAcentral